Eupeodes corollae is the source of this 473-nucleotide long non-coding RNA. RefSeq lists it as uncharacterized. NCBI's taxonomy places the organism in Eukaryota, Metazoa, Arthropoda, Insecta, Diptera, Syrphidae. The transcript has 3 exons. The record is from RefSeq and is a predicted model, not a curated record.
UGAACCAUGGUCGGAAGUUCAAAAAAGAUGGAAGAAAGUAGCGAGGCAAAGACAUCGAGAUAUUCAAAAUAAUUCCUUAAAUAUCUUCUCAGAGUGGCCACUCUUCAAACAUUCUCUUGGACAUACACUUGUUGAAAUUGACUAUGAAAUUUUGAAACCCAACAAUCGAUCGCAACUAUUUCAGCUCUGGCCUUCAUUUACUGCAAGGAUUGUUCCACUUUUACAACAAAAACUAAAGGAUAAAGCAUCGUUGGCAUUUUUAAAGAAUUUUGAAAAUAUUGAUGCAAAUUCUCGUGAUUUUUUUAUUCUCUCUUCAAUCCAUGUCCUUUUAAAACCACCAAUAAUAUCUGUUGGAAAAAAUGAAUCAAAGAAAUCAAAAUGGAAACCAUCAAUUAAGGAUGCCCAGGACUCCUGUUUUUUAUAUUGCUCUUCGAUUCUUGAUUAUACGGUAAAAGUAGAAAAUUUACGCCAAA